GGCACUGACGAGGCCGGGGAGUGAUCGCCGGUGCAAGAGGCAUGGUGUAGGGGGCACGAACAAGGAGCGGCUCCUGGCAGGCUUCGAGUGGAAGGGGUACAUGGACGAAUCGAACAUACACCAGAAUGAGAGGGAUCUGAAGACUGUAUAGGUAUGGGACUAUACAGUUGAAAGAUAGCUUAAAGGAAUUGAUUUGGCUACCCAUAUCACCAAAAUGCAUUUACUUUUCGGUAGUCUAACCCUUAAGAACUCCAUGGUUAAGCGUG
RNAcentral lists this long non-coding RNA (266 nucleotides) under Vigna radiata. Its description in RNAcentral is "long non-coding RNA (VRAD_LNC003020)". Lineage: Eukaryota; Viridiplantae; Streptophyta; Magnoliopsida; Fabales; Fabaceae. The record is from RNAcentral.